GUAGCGCCGGCCUGGCACAGACAGCGUCGCCGUCGACGACGCGGCAGGUCACCGAUACGGCCGGGCGGAUCGUCACGGCGCCGCUGCGC
This 89-nucleotide transfer RNA is filed under the name Sandarakinorhabdus glacialis. RNAcentral's name for it is "Polymorphobacter glacialis tRNA-Asp". The record is from RNAcentral. Lineage: Bacteria; Pseudomonadati; Pseudomonadota; Alphaproteobacteria; Sphingomonadales; Sphingosinicellaceae.